CGAACCACGGCGCGCGGCAGCUGGACUACGUCCCGGCGACCAUCAGCGCCCUGGAGGAGGUGGUCACGGCGGCGGCGGGGCGCAUCCCGGUGUACCUCGACGGCGGCGUCCGCCGCGGCACCGACGUCUUCAAGGCGCUCGCCCUCGGCGCCGCCGGCGUCUUCAUCGGGAGGCCGGUGGUGUUCUCGCUGGCGGCGGCGGGGGAGGCCGGAGUCCGGAACGUGCUGCAGAUGCUCCGCGACGAGUUCGAGCUCACCAUGGCGCUCAGCGGCUGCACCUCCCUCGCCGACAUCACCCGCAACCACGUCAUCACCGAGGCCGACAAGCUCGGCGUCAUGCCGUCUCGCUUGUAAACAACAACGACGGCGAACUUGUCGCCGUCGAUCGAUCACCGGCCGGCCGCCGCGACACGCUUUGCCGGCCGACGGAUGAUCGGCCGGGAAUGAAGAAGAAGGUAGUAGCUGCCGAAGAAAAG
This 475-nucleotide unclassified non-coding RNA is filed under the name Hevea brasiliensis (rubber tree). Lineage: Eukaryota; Viridiplantae; Streptophyta; Magnoliopsida; Malpighiales; Euphorbiaceae. The record is from RNAcentral.